GAAAUAAAUUGUUUUGUGAAAGCUGUGAAAGGUCUUACUUUUGUAUUGGUGAUUGUGUAUGGGUCUGAUACAGAAGCAAAGAGUGGGGCUUGUAGCAAAUCCUGCUCAGGGACAAAUUUUGAAAAGUGAAAGAAUUUUAAUCCAUGGUCUAUAUAGACUUCUUUGUACUUGUAAAUUGCUAUUAGCCCUCACCCAUCAAAGUACUGCAAGUGCUGACUACUUCUGCGCAACAUCAGAGAGAUUGUGCUUUCUCCUGCUUUAUUCUACAUACUUAGGAAGAGAGGCCUUUCUCCUCUGUUUGCUGCAAAGAGAGCUGGUAGCCACUAGAGGGGAGGAGACUGCCGGCUUUCCUGAGUGCUUCACGCUACAGCUUGAAGGUGCAGAAGCUGUCACAAGACUGGUUGCCCAACGAAAUGGUUUUUAA
RNAcentral lists this long non-coding RNA (424 nucleotides) under Anas platyrhynchos platyrhynchos (common mallard). RNAcentral's name for it is "lncRNA (ENSAPLG00000028739.1)". Lineage: Eukaryota; Metazoa; Chordata; Aves; Anseriformes; Anatidae. The record is from RNAcentral.